CUUUUACAAUGAAGAGUUUGAUCCUGGCUCAGGAUGAACGCUAGCUACAGGCUUAACACAUGCAAGUCGAGGGGCAGCAUUUUAGUUUGCUUGCAAACUAAAGAUGGCGACCGGCGCACGGGUGAGUAACACGUAUCCAACCUGCCGAUAACUCGGGGAUAGCCUUUCGAAAGAAAGAUUAAUAUCCGAUAGUAUAUUAAAACCGCAUGGUUUUACUAUUAAAGAAUUUCGGUUAUCGAUGGGGAUGCGUUCCAUUAGUUUGUUGGCGGGGUAACGGCCCACCAAGACUACGAUGGAUAGGGGUUCUGAGAGGAAGGUCCCCCACAUUGGAACUGAGACACGGUCCAAACUCCUACGGGAGGCAGCAGUGAGGAAUAUUGGUCAAUGGACGAGAGUCUGAACCAGCCAAGUAGCGUGAAGGAUGACUGCCCUAUGGGUUGUAAACUUCUUUUAUAUGGGAAUAAAGUAUUCCACGUGUGGGAUUUUGUAUGUACCAUAUGAAUAAGGAUCGGCUAACUCCGUGCCAGCAGCCGCGGUAAUACGGAGGAUCCGAGCGUUAUCCGGAUUUAUUGGGUUUAAAGGGAGCGUAGGUGGAUUGUUAAGUCAGUUGUGAAAGUUUGCGGCUCAACCGUAAAAUUGCAGUUGAAACUGGCAGUCUUGAGUACAGUAGAGGUGGGCGGAAUUCGUGGUGUAGCGGUGAAAUGCUUAGAUAUCACGAAGAACUCCGAUUGCGAAGGCAGCUCACUAGACUGCAACUGACACUGAUGCUCGAAAGUGUGGGUAUCAAACAGGAUUAGAUACCCUGGUAGUCCACACAGUAAACGAUGAAUACUCGCUGUUUGCGAUAUACAGUAAGCGGCCAAGCGAAAGCAUUAAGUAUUCCACCUGGGGAGUACGCCGGCAACGGUGAAACUCAAAGGAAUUGACGGGGGCCCGCACAAGCGGAGGAACAUGUGGUUUAAUUCGAUGAUACGCGAGGAACCUUACCCGGGCUUAAAUUGCAAAUGAAUAAUCUGGAAACAGGUUAGCCGCAAGGCAUCUGUGAAGGUGCUGCAUGGUUGUCGUCAGCUCGUGCCGUGAGGUGUCGGCUUAAGUGCCAUAACGAGCGCAACCCUUAUCUUUAGUUACUAACAGGUCAUGCUGAGGACUCUAGAGAGACUGCCGUCGUAAGAUGUGAGGAAGGUGGGGAUGACGUCAAAUCAGCACGGCCCUUACGUCCGGGGCUACACACGUGUUACAAUGGGGGGUACAGAAGGCAGCUACCUGGCGACAGGAUGCUAAUCCCAAAAACCUCUCUCAGUUCGGAUCGAAGUCUGCAACCCGACUUCGUGAAGCUGGAUUCGCUAGUAAUCGCGCAUCAGCCAUGGCGCGGUGAAUACGUUCCCGGGCCUUGUACACACCGCCCGUCAAGCCAUGAAAGCCGGGGGUACCUGAAGUACGUAACCGCAAGGAGCGUCCUAGGGUAAAACUGGUAAUUGGGGCUAAGUCGUAACAAGGUAGCCGUACCGGAAGGUGCGGCUGGAACACCUCCUUUCU
RNAcentral lists this ribosomal RNA (1536 nucleotides) under Bacteroides xylanisolvens. RNAcentral's name for it is "bacterial SSU rRNA". It matches the Rfam family "Bacterial small subunit ribosomal RNA". Lineage: Bacteria; Pseudomonadati; Bacteroidota; Bacteroidia; Bacteroidales; Bacteroidaceae. The record is from RNAcentral.